RNAcentral lists this ribosomal RNA (395 nucleotides) under Ebriida sp. TAGIRI1 lineage. RNAcentral describes it as "partial small subunit ribosomal RNA". It matches the Rfam family "Eukaryotic small subunit ribosomal RNA", at positions 582 to 975 of the family's 1831-position model. The record is from RNAcentral. Lineage: Eukaryota; Cercozoa; Thecofilosea.
AUUCCAGCUCCAAUAGCGUAUAUUAAAGUUGUUGCAGUUAAAAAGCUCGUAGUUGGAUUUCUGGUUUGAUGCCCUGGCCCGCGGCGAUUCGCCGUGAGUGCCGGUUGUGCGUCUGCCAUCCUUCUAGAAAACGUUUCUACCCUUCACUGGGCCGGACUCGCGAUCUAGAUCUUUUACUUUGAAAAAAUUAGAGUGUUUAAAGCAGGCUUUUGCUAUGAAUACAUUAGCAUGGAAUAAUAAUCUAGGACUUCGGUUCUAUUUUGUUGGUUUCUAGUACUGAAGUAAUGAUUGAUAGGGAUAGUUGGGGGUGCUAGUAUUGAGCGGCCAGAGGUGAAAUUCUUGGAUUCGCUCAAGACUAACUUAUGCGAAAGCAUUCACCAAGGAUGUCUUCAUCG